RNAcentral lists this ribosomal RNA (129 nucleotides) under Adineta vaga. Lineage: Eukaryota; Metazoa; Rotifera; Eurotatoria; Adinetida; Adinetidae. The record is from RNAcentral.
AUUUACGAAAAAAGAACAGUUUGAUAUAAAGAAUUGAAAGAUUCUCGUCCGAUCACUGAAGUUAAGCAACGUCGGGCUCGGUUAGUACUUGGAUGGGUGACCGCCUGGGAAUACCGAGUGUCGUAAGCU